CCUACGGGUGGCUGCAGUGGGGAAUAUUGCACAAUGGGGGAAACCCUGAUGCAGCGACGCCGCGUGAGUGAAGAAGUAAUUCGUUACGUAAAGCUCUAUCAGCCGGGAAGAAACACUGCCCUUACGGUCAGCAGACGGUACCCGAGUAAGAAGCCCAGGCUAACUCCGUGCCAGCAGCCGCGGUCAUACGUAGGGGGCAAGCGUUAUCCGGAUGUUCUGGGUGUAAAGGGAGCGUAGACGGUGCUGCAAGUGUGGAGGGAAAUGCCGCGGCUUAAAUGCGGAACUGUUUUGUAAACUGGCGAACUAGAGUGAGGGAGGGGUAAGCGGAAGUCCUAGUGUAGCGGGGAAAUGCGUAGAUAUUAGGAGGAACACCGGUGGCGAAGGCGGCUUACUGGACCUUAACUGACGCUGAGGCUCGAAAGCGUGGGGAGCAAACAGGAGUAGAUACCCGUGUAGUC
This 458-nucleotide ribosomal RNA is filed under the name uncultured bacterium. Its description in RNAcentral is "partial 16S ribosomal RNA". It matches the Rfam family "Bacterial small subunit ribosomal RNA", at positions 338 to 795 of the family's 1533-position model. The record is from RNAcentral.